UGUUGUCUGACGACGACAUUGAAAUUGAACGACGUAUUACGAUGGACGGCGUUCUCAUUGAUCGCCGACCGGAGUACGUCGAUGGAACGGGACUCUUCUAGAGGACCGAGCGCCUCCCGCCGUGUACGGCUUCGUGCUCUACCGGCGGGAAAAUAUGGAACGGGACUCUUCUCGAGGACCGAGCGCCUCCCGCCGCGUACGGCUUCGUGCUGUAUCGGCGGGAAAAUAUGGAACGGGAUUCAUACGGGCACAUAGCCCCGAAGACCGAGCGCUUCGACGGAGAGAUUUUAUUAUUUCUCUGUCGCUAUAUGCACAUCUGUUCUGUGUGGGAACGGUGUCGCACACUGCUACGUAUCAUCCGAUGCGUGAGCGAAUAGUGGAGCUUCGCUUAGUUGCGUUCUCUCAAAUGAUUCCAGACGCGCGGGAUCGUAUCCGUCUAGUCCUAGUACUGUUUUCGUAACGGGAAAGGUACACCGACGGUACGACGCAAACAACCCCGCGUCGUUUGCUACGUAUCAUCCCGAUGCGUGAGCGAAAUAGUGGGAGCUUCGCUUAGUUGCGUUCUCUUAAAAUGAUAUGAAGCGCGCGAACAUCGUUCGUGUCUCGCCGAGUACCAGCGCUAUGGGAAAAUCGUGACUCGCCUAGUACCGUAAAGGGAAAAUCGUAUCGCGGCCAGUACUGUAUGUUGGGAAAAUCUUGACAGUUCGCUGUUAUAACCAGCGCGUGAUGGGCAUAGCUUCCGUUGACGGUUGCGUCGCCAAAAAUCUGCAAAUAUUCCGAGUCACACGGGACUCCGCUCAUUGCGGAUCCCGGGCGGAUGGUUCGUCUGUCGAACCUCAGCUACAGGCCGUGAUCGCGGGCAUCCUGUUAGCGAAAGUGAACGUUCUCGCUUGAUUGCGACGUUUCAAAUAAAACGGCCGUUACUCGCAACGAUUAAUUUCGUUCGGGUAGGCAAACAUGUCCCCCAGACCUCGAAAGUCUUCGGGAAACCAGACAGCACGGCAUCCGUUUCGGCUACGUGAUUCACGCAAUCACACGGAUUAUUUGAUCCACACUAUAUCUCCAAUGUUGGAAUAUACGAGACCGAGCGUCUCGAGCCUGAGGCUUCGGCCGACGGUGUACUAAUUGUAACUGCGCAAUCGUACAUAUAAUUCGAGCUCGGAGGGUCUCCUCGCGGGACCGUCCGACCGAGACUUGUACAAAUUAUAA
Molecule: unclassified non-coding RNA, 1209 nt
Filed under: Stenoponia tripectinata tripectinata
Lineage: Eukaryota; Metazoa; Arthropoda; Insecta; Siphonaptera; Ctenophthalmidae
Description: sequence contains ITS1
Source: RNAcentral